AUGUCGAAUGUGUCAAUACAUAUAUACUUGCGGCAACUACUAACUGAAAUUUAUUUUUCACCUACAAAAAUAUAUAGAAUCUUCGUCCAUGUUUUCAUGUCGAUACCUGAUUUACAUGUCCAUACAGUUGGGCUGUUCGAGCUAACACUGCAAGGCCUUACAGUGCAUCAGGGGCAUCUAAUAAAGUUUUUAAGUUUGUGCCUAGAACUAUUAUAUCCAGACAAGAGACUUGCUUGCAGGACCAUCAGAGCUGGACCUGCUAGUUAUAGAGAAGAGUUAGAGUUGGAUGGAGUAUCAAACAAUGGAAUCAAAUCAUGCAUGGAAUUUUUUGAGGUUAGGCUAAUUUGA
Molecule: ribosomal RNA, 348 nt
Filed under: Triticum aestivum (bread wheat)
Lineage: Eukaryota; Viridiplantae; Streptophyta; Magnoliopsida; Poales; Poaceae
Description: partial small subunit ribosomal RNA
Source: RNAcentral